AGCCCCAGACCAGAUUCUCAGCAUGGAGCUGACACAGCAGCUUGUGCCAGCUUUGCCCAUCCAAAUGCACACCACUGCCAGCAGACCAGGGCUGGCUGGCUUCCCCUGAGAUGGUCUGAGGAGGAGCUGGAGAAGGACGAGCUCGUUUAAGAUGACACGAACCGACCCACCUGGCAUACUGGUGUCUACGGUGUAUCAAGACCUGGAGGUGAAGUGCCCUACAUCUGCAGAUUCCAUCGUCUGCCAGCCAUUGAUGCCACAAUGUGACGCCUUCAUGUCUGCAUCUCUGCCACGUGACCCGCAGCCCUUCAAUAAGCGCCACUGUAGGAGCUUUGACUUUCUUGAGUCGCUUGACGAGCAGCUGGCCUGUGCUCCUGCUAUGGAGCGCCCCUGCCGGCGCCCAGGCACCCCCGAGCCAUCCUCAGGUUCUGGAGGCAGGAAGGCUCCUCCCAGGUCAGACGUUCAGAACACCAGGCCUCACCCUCAUGGGAGGGAAGUCCCCAAGGAGCCCCUGGCUCGGGCGGAGCCAAAGAGGCGAGCAAGAUCCAAGAGCACCCCUCGGGUGAAAUCUACCUUCGCUCCCAUUCCCAUACAGAUGUCAUCCUCAUCUCCUGCCCCAUCGGCCAGGAGGGGACGGGAGGCUCUGCGCCUCGCCAGGGAUCCUGCGAGGACAGAAAUGUCCCCACGCAGGGAGAGUGGCUACACUCCCAUGAAAGCUCUGAUGAAUGAGGUGCACCCCAUCAAGCUGCAGCCCCAGCGGAGCAGCACCAGCCGCAUCUCUCCACUCUGCAUCAGCAGCAACUGUCCAGAGGAGGCCCCAGGCGGGAGGCCGACCACAAGCCUUCAUGUCAAGUGCCGGAUGGACAUGAAGCCAGAUGAGGCAGUGCUGGUGCACACGGCACGCAGCUUGAAGGCCCAGAGCAGGAUGGAGUUGCCAAGCUGGCCGAGGCCACCGGGCACUGUUCGGAGCCUGACCAUCCCAAGCAGCAGGCACGUGUCUGUGUCCCGCACUCCCACGCCCAGCGACUCCUACAGCGGGGAGCACCGGGUGCUGCGCUACCCCAACGAGUACUAUGAAGGUGACCCCCGGGUUCGGGCUUACCAGGCCAUGCCCUCCCCACGGGAUUAUCCUGAGAGGGGAUGCGUGACCUUCUCUGCCCCCAACGUGCCCACCCAGUUCUUCUACACAGAGGAGCCAACAGGGUGCCUUGGCUCCAGCAUCCCACUGAAAAGUUCUGGCUAUGAGGCGUGCACUCGCCCAUACCCAGGGUGCCACGUCCCUCCACAGGCCUUCUAUGCAGAGGACCCUGCCAAAGGGAAUGUCCGUACCAUCCCACCCCAGACUCUCUACGUGGAAGAAGCUCGGACCUAUCCUAUCCAAGAAGCCCCUGCCCACACUUUCUAUAGAGAAGACCCUCGAAUCUAUGCCUCCAGAGGUGUCCCCACCAAACCCCUCUAUCCAGAGGACCCCAGGCUGUAUCCUGCCCUGAACUCCUCCUCCCGGUUGUUCUACACUGAGGAUUAUGGCAAAUAUCAUGAGAGAGAAGCUAUUUCGCGGACAUACCCUCAUGCCCGUAGCACCCAGCCUUUACAGUUCAGCGACUGGUACUGUCCAGACCGGAGUGCACUCCCCUACCAGACUUUGCAGAUGUCCCGCUUAGCACCUCACCCCUCUGGGCAGGAGGCCUUGCUUUCCUCCUGGCAUGCCAGCUACAGCGCCAACCAGCCCCGCUUAGGCACAGACACCCGGCAUUACUCCAGAUCCUGGGACAACAUCCUGACGUCCAGUGCGCGCAGGGAGGACCCCCUGUUCCGUGGGCGCAGCUAUGAGAACCUGCUGGCCCGGGAGCAGCACCGUGCCUUAUCCCCGGACAACAGGCGGCAGCCCGUGGUGAUCAACCUGUCCAGCUCCCCCAAGCGCUACGCAGCACUGUCCCUCUCCGAGAAUUCCAUCCUGGAGAAGAUGCAUGCGGACAGUGGGCGCUGCCCUCUGGGCCGCUCCUGGUUUGUCACCCCAGAAAUCACCAUCACUGAUAAUGACAUCAAAGCCAAUGGGCUGAGCCAGAGUGAGAAGCGCUCAGCCAGCUGGGAUGUACUGGAUGCUGGGCAGGAUGGGCGUCGCCCCUACCCCACACACUACCACUCGGCUCCCCCUGCCAAAGAGAGCACCCAGACCAGCUCUUCCCGCCAGCCCUGCCUGGACCAGCUGGACGAACUGAUCACAGACCUGGUCAUCGACUCCAAGCCCCCGCCCAGCCACCACCCCAGCAAUGGGCACAGCCUGGCAGACCAGCUCAAGCGGCUGAUUGACAAUGGCGCACCCAUACCCCCCCAGAAGCUGGAUGCUAGGAAACCACUGCCUUUGCUGGUAGGGGAGCCCCGGCCCACCAAGGAGCAGCCAGGCCCCAGUUCCUUCCACAGAGAUGUGUGCAAGGAGCAGGGUGGCCGUGCACUCGCCAUGUCUGUCUCCAGCAGCAGCUUUGAGAAGCAGCAGGAUGACUGCUCCCCGGAGCUGAGUGCGGACGAGGACGACAUGAUGAUGUGUUCAAAUGCCAAGUGCAGGCGCACAGAGACCAUGUUCAAUGCCUGUCUCUACUUCAAGUCCUGCCACAGCUGCUACACCUACUACUGCUCCCGGAGCUGCCGCCGCGAGGACUGGGACACCCACAAGGAGAACUGCGUCUACGGGCGUAUCGGGAGCGUCUGCCGCCAUGUGCUGCAGUUCUGCCGAGAGGAUGCCGAGGUGCACAAGGCCUUCUCGCGCAUUGCCAAGGUGGGCUACCUGUCCCGGGGGCGAGGGGUGCUGUUCCUGGGCUUCCCCAGCUCGGGCUCGGCCGAGAACUUCCUGCAGUUUGGCUUGGAGAGCCUGCUGAUGUCCCCCACCUACUUGUCCCUGCGGGAGCUGGAGGGCUAUGCAGAGAGCCUAGGAGACUAUGCCCGGGAGCUGGUGGGCGCUGGCAGCCAGUACGACCCUGAGGAAUGUUUCCUCUUGAAUGUAACUGUGGCUGUGGGACAUGCAGUCCCUGUGAGGCCAUCUCCCAAGGUGCAGGUGCCGACAGUCAGGAAAUACGCCAAGGUGGCCUUAGCCUCCGCCAGCCCCGAAAAGCAGAUCUUGAAGAAGGAGCGGGAUAUGGAGACCUUGAUCCUGACCCCCCCGCCUGGCACGGCAGAUAUGGACCAGGAGGGUGAGGAAGGGCGCAAGGCCCGGGAGGUCUGCUUCAUCAACAUCCAGCGGGAGCUGCGGACCCGCGGCGUCUUCCUGCGCCAUGAGUUCCCCAAGAUCUACGCGCAGCUCUGUGACUUCGUGGAGAGCAACAAGAGGUUCACGCCCACCACCAUCUACCCCAUUGACAAGCGGACCGGCAAGCAGUUCCUGUGUAUGAUCAUGGCUGCCUCUGAGCCACGGACCUUGGACUGGGUCGCCAGCCCUAACCUGCUGGAUGACAUCAUAUGACCAGCCCUCCACACCAUGCAGGCCUUCUGUGUAUUGCCCUUUGCAGACAGAGCACGAGCUCUAAGCAAGGCCAGGAGAGCAGCCGGCCUUCUGGUGCUGCCUCAGCCAACUAGAGCCCAGGGCGCCGGUUUGGCCACAUUUACCGUGCAGGAGAGGUGGGAGAGCAGCAAGAGGAGAGCAGCAGGGAAUCUGGCAGGCUGCCAAACACAGGAUGCAAGCAGGUGAUACUAAAGCCCUGCCUUCAUUUGGGUCAGAACUCCCAGGGCACAUCCUGAGCUGCUCCAUGCAGGCCAAUGCAAAGGGAGUGAACCCAGAAACACCGUGUGCCCUUCCUGCGAGCACUGGGUGGUUUUACCCAAGGGAAUCACAGUGCUUUCACUCUCUAUGCUGUGUGCUUCCCUGGGACUGGCUGGUUAGCGUCAGUUUCUAUGCUCCAGCUAGGGCUGUCAAGGAAAUGUGCUGGCUUUCACAGACCAGUCUGUUCUGUUGUCAUUCUUGGACGGUCUACUCCUCCGCUACCUUGUCAAGGCUCAUUUCUUACUAGCCCUGCUUUUGGGGCCAAGUUUGACCCAGCCAAGUGUGAUGCCUCCAUCCUGGCUACCAGACUGACUGCCUAGGGUUCAUUCUGGGACUAUCAGAGCUUGACCCCUGAAUUGUGGAGGCAUAGGCAGCCUGGGGGUCUGUGACUGGAGCCCCCUGGAGGUGAAUGGGGGGGAUUGUUGGGGCAUAAGCCCCAUUUGCUGAUAUGGCCACGUGUAAUGGAUCAAGGAGCUUAACUGACCUUUCCCCCAGACAAUUCUGUUACUCACCUGCUCUAGGCACUUCUGUGGGCUCAAGGUGUAACCUAUUAAUGUAGGCACCCGCACCCCUACCCGGUUUCUAGAGCGCAAGACAUAAUCUUUUGCAGGUUUGUGGGGCCUUUUAGCUGCAAAAGGUCCUUACACAGUAAUAGCCUGAACUCUGUUUAUUUCCUACCAAAACAGAACACACUCGCUACCCCGACAAUUCUCCACCCUCCCAAUAAGGCAGAUGAACUUUUCGUGGUGGCCAAGCAGGAUGAGAUGGUUUGGGGCUCCAGCGACUGCUCAAUAUGAGUGGCAGGUGUUAAAGUCUGGCAGCUCUGACCUUGGGUUAUGUCCUGGAAUUAGAUGCUAGAGAAUUUCCUUUUGGAUCCCUCUUUAGAUACAGUAGUUACAUUUGAGGCCUGCUUAGCAGUAGGUUAACCAAUCAUUAUGAACUAAAGUACUAAAUAAUAAUGAUUUGACCAGCCCUAACAUACUGCAAAACAGUUCCUUGCUCAACGAUUCCCCACCAACAUAGCUGAUGUACAUCUUGCAAAAUUAGUUAUGCAACAGACAGAAACAAUUGAAGAACCAGAGACCAUUCAGAUAAACAAGAGAGAAGUAGGGACUGUAAGGCGAACAAUGGAAGUAGAGGGUUCACAAUCACCCCUGUAGCGAAGUGGCUCCUUGCUAGACAGAAUGCCGUCUGUUAUGCCCUUGGCUCUGGCUCUGAUUCUGCAGGGAUUGGUGCCGUUAGGACAGGAGCCUUUGUCACAGCCCAACAGUAUGCUGUUUGGAGGUAAUUUAGAAGGACUGUGAGGCUGUGCUCUUGUUCUGAAGAUGAUGGCAAUGUUCUCUCCUUGAUCACAGGGAGUGCCCAGUCCUGCUGCCAUCUGGAGAGAUGGGUCAGACUUACAUCCCUGGAGGAAAACCUCCCUUCCCUAGAAGGGGGCAGUCCAAGCCCCUGGUCCAAAAUUGGAGGUUCCACAAGCAGGAACAAAUGGAUCCCACUCCAGAUGACAGGUGCUUGGUUUGGGCUGUUAUACAGAGACAUCCAGCUGCGUGUGCUGAUCCCUGGUUUUGUGUGGGCCCUUUCCCCUUAAAGCACAUCACCCUAAGGGCCUGGGGUAACCAGGCACUAAUGUGAAUGUGCCAGAGCAGUGAUUCUGGGCCUGCCCAGUGUCAAGGGAUGGAGUCAAACCCACCUGACAUUAUUAACUAGCAGCGGGAUGGAAAUCAUUAAUUCCUGUGCUAGCAGCUGCCAAGUUAGCUGGGGAAGAGCAGGCUGCCACUGUUGGGAGGCAGCACCCAAAACAACAGUGCAGUUGUGGGCAGGCCCCACCCUACUGCACCCCCAGGAUCAUGCCCAUUAACACAUCUGACCAAGCUGAAUAGUUGGGGAUUCCUGCCUCUCCAACAACACUGCGGCAGGUCAGUGGACUGCCUGCCUUCCACCAUAAGGCCACAUGGACUUUUCUCUUCCACCCAACCACUCAAUGUGAGUAUGCACCCCCGCUCGCUUGCAGAGCUGGCUCCUCUUGUGGAAGCAGGGGAAGCCAAGAGCAUCUUUCUCCUGGUUUUACAUUGCUUUGCUGGGCCUCUCCAUACCGUAACCAUGGUUCAUGGUCCAGAUCCAAGCAGCUCCUUCAACUACGUAGCUUGGAGGUAACAGUGUAUCCUGGUAAUUAAAACCUACUAAUCUAAUAAACAAUUUUUAAAAAAGCCGGAAACUGCCUCUUCUCAGCUGAGCUCCCUGGAGGGUGGUACUGCAAUGACAGAAUUCUGUGGUCAAUGCAUGGUCUAUUUAUUUCCUUUUUCUAAUGAUGCAUCGUACUGAAGAGUUGUCGCCCACAUCUCCUCGUGCAGAGCUACGUCUGUAUUUUCUCACAAGUCGUAUAGUUUUGCUGGUGUCCUACAGCAAAGUCUUUGAGGUAUUAUGAGAGAUCUCUUUCCUUUGCAUAUCCAUAAAGAA
Molecule: non-coding RNA, 6208 nt
Organism: Pelodiscus sinensis (Chinese soft-shelled turtle)
Lineage: Eukaryota; Metazoa; Chordata; Testudines; Trionychidae
Source: RefSeq, a predicted model, not a curated record